RNAcentral lists this ribosomal RNA (488 nucleotides) under uncultured bacterium. RNAcentral describes it as "bacterial SSU rRNA". It matches the Rfam family "Bacterial small subunit ribosomal RNA", at positions 29 to 507 of the family's 1533-position model. The record is from RNAcentral.
AACGAACGCUGGCGGCGUGGAUUAGGCAUGCAAGUCGAGCGAGAAAGCAUCCGUUCGGGGUGUGAGUACAGCGGCGAACUGGUGAGUAACAGGUGGGUAACGUGCCCUGAAGUGGGGGAUAACCCGGGGAAACCCGGACUAAUACCGCAUGUGACCUUGAAGGCUUCGGCCAGACAGGUUAAAGACUUCGGUCGCUUCAGGAUCGGCCCGUCCCCGAUUAGCUAGUUGGUGAGGUAAUGGCUCACCAAGGCAUUGAUCGGUAGCUGGUCUGAGAGGAUGGUCAGCCACACUGGGACUGAGAUACGGCCCAGACUCCUACGGGGGGCAGCAGUCUAGAGGCUUCGUCAAUGGGGGAAACCCUGAACGAGCGACGCCGCGUGCGGGAUUGAAGGCCUUCGGGUCGUAAACCGCUGUCAAGUGGGAAGAAUGCCCUGAUGGUGAAUCAGGGAGUGACGGUACCACUGAAGGAAGCCCCGGCUAACUCCGUG